RNAcentral lists this ribosomal RNA (3032 nucleotides) under Salmonella enterica subsp. enterica serovar 1,4,[5],12:i:-. RNAcentral describes it as "23S ribosomal RNA". It matches the Rfam family "Bacterial large subunit ribosomal RNA". Lineage: Bacteria; Pseudomonadati; Pseudomonadota; Gammaproteobacteria; Enterobacterales; Enterobacteriaceae. The record is from RNAcentral.
GGGUUGUGAGGUUAAGCGACUAAGCGUACACGGUGGAUGCCCUGGCAGUCAGAGGCGAUGAAGGGCGUGCUAAUCUGCGAUAAGCGCCGGUAAGGUGAUAUGAACCGUUAUAACCGGCGAUACCCGAAUGGGGAAACCCAGUGUGACUCGUCACACUAUCAUUAACUGAAUCCAUAGGUUAAUGAGGCGAACCGGGGGAACUGAAACAUCUAAGUACCCCGAGGAAAAGAAAUCAACCGAGAUUCCCCCAGUAGCGGCGAGCGAACGGGGAGGAGCCCAGAGCCUGAAUCAGCAUGUGUGUUAGUGGAAGCGUCUGGAAAGGCGCGCGAUACAGGGUGACAGCCCCGUACACAAAAGCGCAUGUGCUGUGAGCUCGAUGAGUAGGGCGGGACACGUGGUAUCCUGUCUGAAUAUGGGGGGACCAUCCUCCAAGGCUAAAUACUCCUGACUGACCGAUAGUGAACCAGUACCGUGAGGGAAAGGCGAAAAGAACCCCGGCGAGGGGAGUGAAAAAGAACCUGAAACCGUGUACGUACAAGCAGUGGGAGCCCCACCACCAAAGCAUUCUCUGGUGUUGAAGGCCCUGCAAAGCAGCAUCGCGGUGGCGGAGCGUCGUUUGCGACGCCCAACACACAAAACAAGCGGUGAAUGCUUUGGGGUGGGGUGACUGCGUACCUUUUGUAUAAUGGGUCAGCGACUUAUAUUCUGUAGCAAGGUUAACCGAAUAGGGGAGCCGGAGGGAAACCGAGUCUUAAUUGGGCGUUAAGUUGCAGGGUAUAGACCCGAAACCCGGUGAUCUAGCCAUGGGCAGGUUGAAGGUUGGGUAACACUAACUGGAGGACCGAACCGACUAAUGUUGAAAAAUUAGCGGAUGACCUGUGGCUGGGGUGAAAGGCCAAUCAAACCGGGAGAUAGCUGGUUCUCCCCGAAAGCUAUUUAGGUAGCGCCUCGUGAAUUCAUCUCCGGGGUAGAGCACUGUUUCGGCUAGGGGCCAUCCCGGCUUACCAACCCGAUGCAAACUGCGAAUACCGGAGAAUGUUAUCACGGGAGACACACGGCGGGUGCUAACGUCCGUCGUGAAGAGGGAAACAACCCAGACCGCCAGCUAAGGUCCCAAAGUCAUGGUUAAGUGGGAAACGAUGUGGGAAGGCCCAGACAGCCAGGAUGUUGGCUUAGAAGCAGCCAUCAUUUAAAGAAAGCGUAAUAGCUCACUGGUCGAGUCGGCCUGCGCGGAAGAUGUAACGGGGCUAAACCAUGCACCGAAGCUGCGGCAGCGACGCUGAUGCGUUGUUGGGUAGGGGAGCGUUCUGUAAGCCUGUGAAGGUGUGUCGUGAGGCAUGCUGGAGGUAUCAGAAGUGCGAAUGCUGACAUAAGUAACGAUAAAGCGGGUGAAAAGCCCGCUCGCCGGAAGACCAAGGGUUCCUGUCCAACGUUAAUCGGGGCAGGGUGAGUCGACCCCUAAGGCGAGGCCGAAAGGCGUAGUCGAUGGGAAACGGGUUAAUAUUCCCGUACUUGGUGUUACUGCGAAGGGGGGACGGAGAAGGCUAUGUUGGCCGGGCGACGGUUGUCCCGGUUUAAGCGUGUAGGUGUGUGUUCCAGGUAAAUCCGGUUCACUUUAACACUGAGGCGUGACGACGAGGCACUACGGUGCUGAAGCAACAAAUGCCCUGCUUCCAGGAAAAGCCUCUAAGCAUCAGGUAACACGAAAUCGUACCCCAAACCGACACAGGUGGUCAGGUAGAGAAUACCAAGGCGCUUGAGAGAACUCGGGUGAAGGAACUAGGCAAAAUGGUGCCGUAACUUCGGGAGAAGGCACGCUGACACGUAGGUGAAGUGAUUUACUCAUGGAGCUGAAGUCAGUCGAAGAUACCAGCUGGCUGCAACUGUUUAUUAAAAACACAGCACUGUGCAAACACGAAAGUGGACGUAUACGGUGUGACGCCUGCCCGGUGCCGGAAGGUUAAUUGAUGGGGUCAGCGUAAGCGAAGCUCCUGAUCGAAGCCCCGGUAAACGGCGGCCGUAACUAUAACGGUCCUAAGGUAGCGAAAUUCCUUGUCGGGUAAGUUCCGACCUGCACGAAUGGAAUGGCGUAAUGAUGGCGGGCUGUCUCCACCCGAGACUCAGUGAAAUUGAACUCGCUGUGAAGAUGCAGUGUACCCGCGGCAAGACGGAAAGACCCCGUGAACCUUUACUAUAGCUUGACACUGAACAUUGAGCCUUGAUGUGUAGGAUAGGUGGGAGGCUUUGAAGUGUGGACGCCAGUCUGCAUGGAGCCGACCUUGAAAUACCACCCUUUAAUGUUUGAUGUUCUAACGUGGACCCGUAAUCCGGGUUGCGGACAGUGUCUGGUGGGUAGUUUGACUGGGGCGGUCUCCUCCUAAAGAGUAACGGAGGAGCACGAAGGUUGGCUAAUCCUGGUCGGACAUCAGGAGGUUAGUGCAAUGGCAUAAGCCAGCUUGACUGCGAGCGUGACGGCGCGAGCAGGUGCGAAAGCAGGUCAUAGUGAUCCGGUGGUUCUGAAUGGAAGGGCCAUCGCUCAACGGAUAAAAGGUACUCCGGGGAUAACAGGCUGAUACCGCCCAAGAGUUCAUAUCGACGGCGGUGUUUGGCACCUCGAUGUCGGCUCAUCACAUCCUGGGGCUGAAGUAGGUCCCCAAGGGUAUGGCUGUUCGCCAUUUAAAGUGGUACGCGAGCUGGGUUUAGAACGUCGUGAGACAGUUCGGUCCCCUAUCUGCCGUGGGCGCGGGAGAACUGAGGGGGGCUGCUCCUAGUACGAGAGGACCGGAGUGGACGCAUCACUGGUGUUCGGGUUGUCAUGCCAAUGGCACUGCCCGGUAGCUAAAUGCGGAAGAGAUAAGUGCUGAAAGCAUCUAAGCACGAAACUUGCCCCGAGAUGAGUUCUCCCUGAGACUUUAGGUCUCCUGAAGGAACGUUGAAGACGACGACGUUGAUAGGCCGGGUGUGUAAGCGCAGCGAUGCGUUGAGCUAACCGGUACUAAUGAACCGUGAGGCUUAACCUUACAACGCCGAAG